RNAcentral lists this ribosomal RNA (497 nucleotides) under uncultured bacterium. Its description in RNAcentral is "partial 16S ribosomal RNA". It matches the Rfam family "Bacterial small subunit ribosomal RNA", at positions 28 to 507 of the family's 1533-position model. The record is from RNAcentral.
GAUGAACGCUGGCGGCGUGCCUAAUACAUGCAAGUCGAGCGAACAGACAAGGAGCUUGCUCCUCUGACGUUAGCGGCGGACGGGUGAGUAACACGUGGAUAACCUACCUAUAAGACUGGGAUAACUUCGGGAAACCGGAUCUAAUACCGGAUAACAUGUUGAACCGCAUGGUUCAACAGUGAAAGACGGUCUUUCUGUCACUUAUAGAUGGAUCCGCGCCGCAUUAGCUAGUUGGUAAGGUAACGGCUUACCAAGGCAACGAUGCGUAGCCGACCUGAGAGGGUGAUCGGCCACACUGGAACUGAGACACGGUCCAGACUCCUACGGGAGGCAGCAGUAGGGAAUAUUCCGCAAUGGGCGAAAGCCUGACGGAGCAACGCCGCGUGAGUGAAGAAGGUCUUCGGAUCGUAAAACUCUGUUAUUAGGGAAGAACAAAUGUGUAAGUAACUAUGCACGUCUUGACGGUACCUAAUCAGAAAGCCACGGCUAACUACGUG